RNAcentral lists this ribosomal RNA (250 nucleotides) under uncultured bacterium. Its description in RNAcentral is "partial 16S ribosomal RNA". It matches the Rfam family "Bacterial small subunit ribosomal RNA", at positions 57 to 305 of the family's 1533-position model. The record is from RNAcentral.
GCAAGUCGAACGGUAACAGCAGAGCUUGCUCUGGCUGACGAGUGGCGGACGGGUGAGUAACGCGUAGGAAUCUACCCAGUAGCGGGGGAUAGCCCGGAGAAAUCCGGAUUAAUACCGCAUACGCCCCACGGGGGAAAGAGGGCCUCUUCUUGAAAGCUCUCACUAUUGGAGGAGCCUGCGUUGGAUUAGCUUGUUGGUAGGGUAAUGGCUUACCAAGGCGACGAUCAGUAUCUGGUUUGAGAGGACGAUC